CCUACGGGAGGCAGCAGUGGGGAAUAUUGGGCAAUGGGCGCAAGCCUGACCCAGCAACGCCGCGUGCAGGAAGAAGGCUUUCGGGUUGUAAACCUCUUUUGAUAGGGAAGAGUAGAAGACGGUACCUGUCGAAUAAGCCACGGCUAACUACGUGCCAGCAGCCGCGGUAAUACGUAGGUGGCAAGCGUUGUCCGGAUUUACUGGGUUUAAAGGGUGUGUAGCGGGGUUGAGAAGUCAGAUGUGAAAUCCUGCGGCUUAACCCGAGCACUGCAUUGGAAACUGUUGUUCUGGAGUACUGGGGAGGCAGACGGAAUUCCUAGUGUAGCGGUGAAAUGCGUAGAUAUUAGGAGGAACACCAGGGGCGAAGGCGGUCUGCUGGACAGGAACUGACGGUGAGGCGCGAAGGCGUGGGGAGCAAACAGGAUUAGAUACCCUAGUAGUC
Molecule: ribosomal RNA, 442 nt
Filed under: uncultured bacterium
Lineage: Bacteria
Description: partial 16S ribosomal RNA
Rfam family: Bacterial small subunit ribosomal RNA
Source: RNAcentral